RNAcentral lists this ribosomal RNA (492 nucleotides) under uncultured bacterium. RNAcentral describes it as "partial 16S ribosomal RNA". It matches the Rfam family "Bacterial small subunit ribosomal RNA", at positions 29 to 507 of the family's 1533-position model. The record is from RNAcentral.
AGUGAACGCUGGCGGUAGGCCUAACACAUGCAAGUCGAACGGCAGCACAGUAAGAUCUUGCUCUUACGGGUGGCGAGUGGCGGACGGGUGAGGAAUACAUCGGAAUCUACUUUUUCGUGGGGGAUAACGUAGGGAAACUUACGCUAAUACCGCAUACGACCUACGGGUGAAAGCAGUGGAUCUUCGGACCUUGCGCGAUUGAAUGAGCCGAUGUCGGAUUAGCUAGUUGGCGGGGUAAAGGCCCACCAAGGCGACGAUCCGUAGCUGGUCUGAGAGGAUGAUCAGCCACACUGGAACUGAGACACGGUCCAGACUCCUACGGGAGGCAGCAGUAGGGAAUCUUCGGCAAUGGGCGCAAGCCUGACCCAGCCAUGCCGCGUGGGUGAAGAAGGCCUUCGGGUUGUAAAGCCCUUUUAUUGGGAAAGAACAAAAGUGGGUUAAUCCCUCGCUGUCCUGACGGUACCCAAACAAUAAGCCACGGCUAACUUCGUG